RNAcentral lists this small nuclear RNA (23 nucleotides) under Arabidopsis thaliana (thale cress). Its description in RNAcentral is "snRNA_12681". The record is from RNAcentral. Lineage: Eukaryota; Viridiplantae; Streptophyta; Magnoliopsida; Brassicales; Brassicaceae.
AGUGGGAACCCUCCAAAAAUAGG